CAGCAGCCGCGGUAAUACGUAGGUGGCAAGCGUUGUCCGGAAUUAUUGGGCGUAAAGGGCUCGCAGGCGGUUUCUUAAGUCUGAUGUGAAAGCCCCCGGCUCAACCGGGGAGGAUCAUUGGAAACUGGGAAACUUGAGUGCAGAAGAGGAGAGUGGAAUUCCACGUGUAGCGGUGAAAUGCGUAGAGAUGUGGAGGAACACCAGUGGCGAAGGCGACUCUCUGGUCUGUAACUGACGCUGAGGAGCGAGAGCGUGGGGAGCGAACAGGAUUAGAGACCCGAGUAGUCCCUGUCUCUUAUAC
Molecule: ribosomal RNA, 301 nt
Filed under: uncultured bacterium
Lineage: Bacteria
Description: partial 16S ribosomal RNA
Rfam family: Bacterial small subunit ribosomal RNA
Source: RNAcentral